CCUACGGGAGGCAGCAGUGGGGAAUAUUGCGCAAUGGGCGAAAGCCUGACGCAGCGACGCCGCGUGAGGGAUGAAGGUCUUCGGAUCGUAAACCUCUGUCAGCAGGGAAGAACGGUCACUGUGCUAAUCAGCAGUGCAUUGACGGUACCUGCAAAGGCAGCACCGGCUAACUCCGUGCCAGCAGCCGCGGUAAUACGGAGGGUGCGAGCGGUAAUCGGAAUUACUGGGCGUAAAGCGCUCGUAUGCGGUAUGUCAAGUCAAGGGUGAAAUCCCCGCGCUCAACGUGGGAACUGCCUUUGAAACGGGCAAACUGGAGUGUGUGAGAGGAUAGUGGAAUUCCAGGUGUAGGAGUGAAAUCCGUAGAUAUCUGGAGGAACAUCAGUGGCGAAGGCGACUAUCUGGCACAUAACUGACGCUGAGGAGCGAAAGCGUGGGUAGCAAACAGGAUUAGAUACCCUUGUAGUC
Molecule: ribosomal RNA, 465 nt
Filed under: uncultured bacterium
Lineage: Bacteria
Description: partial 16S ribosomal RNA
Rfam family: Bacterial small subunit ribosomal RNA
Source: RNAcentral